CGCAUGGAUUUACAGAGACUCCAUCUGCUGAAUGAGUACCAGUGAUGCAUUAUUUGUAGCUUGAAAUGUCCUUGAGAAGAUGGACAUAAAAACCCUAAAGUCUCUUUUAACGUCUAGUGAUGACAUGCAAACACCAACACACCGAAUCCAAGAUCGCACCACAAAGCCAAGAUAGUUCCCUCCCCUACCUGUUCUACAUUGACCACAAGCUAACAGGCCUUAAUCAGCAGUCGUUGAACAUUGAUGAACUCACGUUUUGCUGUUUCCUCCCAAGCAACCCUGUAAAAGGUCCAGUUUGCUGACCUUGUUUGCCAGUGCGGUAAUGACGAUGCCCAGAUUGGACAGGGAGCCGUUAAUGGCGGUCAUUUCUUUGAAGCGCUCCCCCUGA
Long non-coding RNA from Sphaeramia orbicularis (orbiculate cardinalfish), 388 nucleotides. RefSeq lists it as uncharacterized. The transcript is spliced from 3 exons. The record is from RefSeq and is a predicted model, not a curated record. Lineage: Eukaryota; Metazoa; Chordata; Actinopteri; Kurtiformes; Apogonidae.